UAUCUUUGUUGUCGCAAUGGUUCUCUCUCUCCAUCCGGAGAAAGGGAUUAAUAGGGAAUCGGGUGAAAAUCCCGAACAGUCCCGCUGCUGUGAGCUUCAUUAAAACGUACGGACAUUUCUUUGCCACUGUUCGGGGUUUCAGAAGAACCUUAAAAACGGGAAGGCGUCCGGAGGAAGCGAGUCAGAAGACCUGCCUUUGCACGCAUUGUUAC
This 212-nucleotide non-coding RNA is filed under the name Macellibacteroides sp. The record is from RNAcentral. Lineage: Bacteria; Pseudomonadati; Bacteroidota; Bacteroidia; Bacteroidales; Porphyromonadaceae.